CACGUAGGGAGCAAGCGUUGUCCGGAUUUAUUGGGCGUAAAGAGCUCGUAGGUGGUUCGAUAAGUCGGGUGUGAAAACUCUGGGCUCAACUCAGAGACGCCACUCGAUACUGUCGUGACUGGAGUCUGGUAGGGGAGUGUGGAAUUCCCAGUGUAGCGGUGAAAUGCGCAGAUAUUGGGAGGAACACCAGUGGCGAAGGCGGCACUCUGGGCCAGUACUAACACUGAGGAGCGAAAGCGUGGGGAGCGAACAGG
RNAcentral lists this ribosomal RNA (254 nucleotides) under uncultured bacterium. RNAcentral's name for it is "partial 16S ribosomal RNA". It matches the Rfam family "Bacterial small subunit ribosomal RNA", at positions 524 to 776 of the family's 1533-position model. The record is from RNAcentral.